GAUGAACGCUGGCGGCGUGCCUAAUACAUGCAAGUCGAGCGAACAGAUGAGGAGCUUGCUCCUCUGACGUUAGCGGCGGACGGGUGAGUAACACGUGGAUAACCUACCUAUAAGACUGGGAUAACUUCGGGAAACCGGAGCUAAUACCGGAUAAUAUAUUGAACCGCAUGGUUCAAUAGUGAAAGACGGUUUUGCUGUCACUUAUAGAUGGAUCCGCGCCGCAUUAGCUAGUUGGUAAGGUAACGGCUUACCAAGGCAACGAUGCGUAGCCGACCUGAGAGGGGGGUUGGCCCACACGGAACCUGGAACACGUCCAGGCCCCUAAGGGGGGGAGGAGUAGGGAAUUCUUCCGCAUGGGGGAAAACCUUGCGGGGGCACCGCGGGUGAGUUAAUAAGGGUCUCCGGACGGAAAACCCUUUUUAUUGGGAAAAACCAAUUGUGAAGUUACUAUGCACGUCUUGACGGUACCUAAUCAGAAAGCCACGGCUAACUACGUG
RNAcentral lists this ribosomal RNA (497 nucleotides) under uncultured bacterium. Its description in RNAcentral is "partial 16S ribosomal RNA". It matches the Rfam family "Bacterial small subunit ribosomal RNA", at positions 28 to 507 of the family's 1533-position model. The record is from RNAcentral.